UUUGCCAUUUGUACCACUGAUGUCGAGAGUUAAUGACUAUUUCGUUUCUAUCGGAUGUUACAAUUGGUUGGAGAUGGUCACAUGACAGUAAUUAGGAAAAUGGAACAAGUUAUAAAUAUGCGAAAACAUUUUACCAAUUUCAAAAAAGAAUUAUUGUUAGAAUUAAUAGAAAAAUAUAAAGAUGUGAUAGAAAAUAAAAAGACUAAUGCAAUGUCGAUAACACUAAGUUUCUGCGCAUGCAUUAACCCUGAGUUUCUCAAACAACCCAGCUACCAACUAGGGUAGUUGAUUUGACUCGGGGUUGUUUCAUAUGACUCGGAACGAAGUUGGUGAAUACGAAUUUAGAUAUAACUCCUCAUAUAACUCUAA
Molecule: long non-coding RNA, 369 nt
Filed under: Androctonus crassicauda
Lineage: Eukaryota; Metazoa; Arthropoda; Arachnida; Scorpiones; Buthidae
Source: RNAcentral